GGAGGUGAGUUCAGAGUCUGCCUAUGCUGCCAUCUUGAUGAGAUCUCUGGAGCCAUUUUAAAAUAGAGCUGGAGCAGCCAUUUCAGAGGAAGCGCCUGCACAUUUUACUCCUUGAAACUGUGGACUAUUUGAACUGGCUGGACCUUUAGACUGAACCAAACCAACAUUGUCUUCCAAACAACUGUUAGUAAAGCUAACAGGAAAGCAGACAUUCUGACCACAAAGACUGAUGAUUAUGGACUCUCUUUCCAAAGGUAGAAUUGGUAACCAGCCAUGUACAGCUAAAGAAUAGCCUAGCUUAUUAACACCUACAUAAGAUUAUUUUUCCUCUUCUCCUUCUUUUCAUGUAAUUACACUUCUCCUUUUCCCAUAAAAACCUUCCUCUUUUACUCUAUAACUGGGACACUAUUGGGUUUCUACCUGAAUCUUUGCUCCCUGAAUUGCAAUUCUUUGAUCUCAAAUAAAGUUUGCCUCUUAAACUGGUUUCUGUUUUUGUAGGUUGACACUUGUGAAUCUGCAAUUAUCUCAAUAACUAUUUCAAUUACAAAAAAAAAAAAAAAAAAUGGAAGGAGGAGAGCUUUGGGCCAAGGGAACCAAAGAGUCAAGAAACGUUGCUCACUUCCUGGAUUUAACAAAAACCUACGGGUCCUCUCUCCCAUGUGAACGUCCCUAUCAUAGGCACUUGGAAGCAGGAAUGGUGGCAAGUGUGGCUCUGUCUCUUCUUAAUAAGCAGGUACUUUGGUAGCAGGUUUCAAAGUGGGGUGAGAGGAGUGCAGAAGGGAUUUGAGAAGCUUUCCUGUGUGAUUCUGAUCCAUCAUUCUUCAAUGAAUCCACCAACUUAGUGGAAAAGAUGUUUAUGGAAUUCUGUUUCCAGCAUCAUUAAAGUCAUAUUCUGUAUAAAACAGGUGAAAGAAGCAUUACAAAUUAAACGAAAUCCAUUUAUAAUGAAAGGUUUUGACAGCAGCUAUCCAGGACAGCUUGGUUCUAAUUCUGGGUCAACCCCUAACUCACAGGAUCAUUAGGGAGACACUUUCAAUCUAUUAAUCUUAAUAAUCAUAAUAGCUAAUAUUAACUGAGUGGUUACUGUGUGCCAGGCUAUUGUGCUGAAGGUUUUAAAUACAUUAUCCUAUUUAUCUUCACAGUAGCCCCACGAAUCUGGAACUGUUCUUAUUAGCUACGGAUGAGGACACUCAUGACCUGCAGAGUUUAAGACAUUUGCCUGAGGUCACACAGUGUGAGGUGGUGGCACUGAUUCACUCCCUGCUCUGCCUGUGUUCAUAACCACUUCACUAACUCUUUCUUGGUUCUCAACCAUGAAAAGAGGAGAUUUGGCAAAGGGGUUUGUGUUCUCCAUGGCUCGAAUGGAUGCUGAGCCAGUUAGCUAAUUCCAACCUGAACUUAACAGGGGGCAGUCAAGAAACAAUUUAAGAACUACCAGUCUUGCCCUACAGGGAAGAAGAUAAGCCUGGGCAGGUUGAAGGAGUGAGAGGGUGAUGGAAUGAUUUUUCACCCUUCAAUGGGAUGUGACUUACUUAGGACUUCUGUUAGAUCCUGAUUGAAUGUGAAAAAUGAGCCCUUUCUCUCUAAAGUUAGGGUCUCUAAAGAGUCCUGUUGGUUGAAUGCAUAUGAUUUCCUGUCUCUUUUGAUUACCUAAAAUACAGGCAGUGGGAAGAUAAAAUAUUUGUGUGUUGGCUCAUUCAAGUUCACAUAAAGCAGACCAGGAAAAGCAGCUGGUAGAAAGGAAAUCAGGCCAAGAUGCACUAAAAGCCAAGGUGCAAGAGAGAUACCAAGAUCUGAUGUGAGAGAGAGGAGAGAGCAUACUGCUACACAGUAGCAGAAACAAAGACAAAAAUACUGCUGAGGUGUUUUCUUCUGCAUCCCAUAGCUCCUCAGGUUUAAGGAGACUUUUGGGUGGUUCUUGGUUCUCCUAUAUCUUCAUUGGCAUGACUUAACAAGAGGGCCACUCACAUGGAAUUGGGGUGAGGGAACACUGCCACCUAUAGUAGUUCCAUCAGCUGUGAGUGGCCAUUUAAAAUCCCCUCAGGCAUACAGUCCUUUCUUUGCUGGCUUCCCUUGAAGAGGCAGAACAGCAAAAUCUUUAAGAGCAAGAGUGAGCUUUGCAGCCAGACAGCCUCAGUUCGCAUCCCGGCUCCACCUCUUACUGGCUGCAUGACCUGGUGAGUUGUUCAACCUCUCUGCACUUCAGUUUCAUGAUCUGUAAAAUGGGGGUGGCACAUGUGCCCAGCCAUAGUAAUCACUCCAUAAACAUGAGCUCUGAGGGUUAUGAUGCUAAGAUGUCAGAGGAUAUCAUGAGACCCAAAAAGCUUCUUGAUGUUCCUCAAGCCAGAUUUGUGUCUGUCUUUGUGAUGAGGCUCUGGGACCUCCUGGAGCCUGAGAGUGGAGAAUGUGGGUUUCUCUCCUUAGUACUUUGGCUUUUCUUUUUGAGUCUCAGUUUCCUCACCUGUAAAAUGUGAAUAAUAAUGUCUGCCUCUGUUUGCCUCCUGACAUCUUGUGCAUCUCUUAAGAUAGUGUAUAUGUUAGCACAUUAAGGAGAAUAGGCACCAAAAGGCCUAGAAUGUUAAAAGAUGUUCUUGAGUAAAUGAUUACCAUUCUGAGACUGUUUCCUCAGCUGUGGAAUGUGAGUAGUAAUACCUACCUCCCAGAGUGAGGAUUAAGGUGAUAGAGUCCUGGGAACACAUUACCAGUCCAAAAUCUUCUGCCCCCUCCUUGCUGUCCCCUUGUGGUCAUGUUUCCUGGUUAAGGAAUCCUCAAUUUCUGGUUUGUGAGUGUGAGAGUGCCUCAGAGGGGCGUGGAGUGUGGUCUCAGGGUGAAGUAAACCUAUGACCAAUCUUUGUUCUAGCCACUCCAGCCAGUUUGAACCUGCCAGAUUCUGCUUAUUUCCUUCAUCCUGGAAUCAAAGCUGCGGGUUGGACUUCAGUUCCCCACCUCACCCCCAUCCGCUUUGUGAAUAAUGAGUUUUGCUUAGAGAUUUAACCUAGAGAAUGGGGGCAGGAAGGGACCUGGGAUCUUCCAUGAGCAUUUGGAGGCCAAAUGAUAUUCCUCUGAACCCUGGGCUUCUCUUAAGGCUCAUUUUUGCUGCAUCCCAACAGAACAUGUGCUUGCUCACAUUUCUAUUCCCAAAUGCCCGUAAUACAUCAGUUCUUGCGUGGACAAAUCAUCAAUACAGUAAAAAUAGCUGACUUCUGGUCAGUGCUUGUCGAUGCAGGCAAAGUCAGAUGGUGUAACCACCUUCCAUUUGGAAAGAACUUCCACAUAGUUCCACCCCCAUUUUUAGGUGGGGCACCUGAGGUCUGGAGGAGUCAAGAGGAGUGUCCAAAGUCACUCAGCUUUAGGUGGCUCUGCUGAAAUGUGCUCCCUGUGGGUUUUUUUUUAGGCCCUCAGCUUCCUCGAGACACUGGAAUCUCGCAUAGUCUGAUGAAACCCUCGUCCUAGUGGAUCAAGCAAGCACCUCUCAGCGGAUGGAAGAGUAUUUCAAGGUGUGAGGGCUUUCCUAAUCCCCUCCCAACCCCCAGGCGGGCUCCACCUUCUCCAUCAGGCGAGAUGCUGACCCUGUCGUGACAGUCUUGGUUGUGGUUGGAGGGCAGCAGGAGCUACUGCUCUGGAGGGGCUCCCCACUUGUGCAGUCACCUGAUUUCCUGCAGUGCAGUGUUAAGUUCACAGGCCCUAGGGUCAAAUCGAUCUGGGUUCAAAUUAUGCCUAAGCUACUUCCAGUGGUGUUACCUUGGGCAACGUACCCUCUAAGCCCAAAUUCCUCUGCUGUGAAAUGGCAUAAAAUGAGCACAUUCCUUAUAGGGACGUUUUGGACUUAUCCAGGCUGGCUACUUAAUUUUCAGGUUCCAGUACAAAACAGAAAUAUGGAGUUCCUUGUGCAAAGAAGCAAAAAUAAAGCUUUUUACCGUCUUCCACAGUCCUUCUCUUGGCCUGUCAUGGUGUUUUUUUAUUUGCUAUUGAAAGUUGUACUCCCUCAGGCACAGGUGAGCCCCCACCCCAAGACUAAGUGAACUGGGCCGUGCGAGAGCCGAGGCUCCAACCCCCAGCACGUUUCAUUGUCCCAUCUGACUUUGCUUAUGCAAGCUAAAUUCAAAGAUAAAAUUAUUAAGCUUUUCAAGAUGGUGACCACAGAGCAUUGAACUCUAAAGUGUAGGCCCUUCUGAGCGUGGGCCUUCUGUGAUUGUACCAGUUGCACCCCUGUGAAGCUGGACUGAAUGUGCUUGUAAGCCUUUAGCAUCGUCUCUGGCCCAGAGUAAGGGCUCAGUGACUGGUCAGUAGAGAGAGGCCCGGCUUUGUUCACAGGUCAACUUAGGAAUCCCAUAGCUCAAGCCUUCACUUGAACUCUGCAUCUGCAGCCUGGCUCAAGGGAGGGUCAGGAAAGGUGUUAUAAUCACCUUCGUGCAAAUGGAGAAACUAAGGCUGGAGAGGAGCUGGAGCUUGGCUAUGUUCACCCUGGAGUUAGUGAUAGAGGCAGAAGCAAACAGUGAUCUCUAGACUCUCAGUCAGUGCCAAGCAUCUCAAGUUCAGUGCCCACUCUGGGCCUCCUUAGGUCACCUGGGGAUUGUGAGUGGCAGCAGCUCCUGUCAGGAAACCAACCCCUCCCCAGGCCCUUACAUAGCUUUCCAAACCCUGCUCACUGCCAGCCUCCUCAAGAAAGACUUCCCUACCCAGGACCUCCCCAUGGAAGUUUUUCUUCUAUAUGUACAUUUGCCCAAAAGUCAAUCAUAUGGAAUAUAGUUUUAUUUCUUGUGCUUUUUAUGUUACCAAACAUUAUGAGCAUAUUUCUGGCUUAUUAAAUAUUUUUUAACCUUAUUUAUAAUAUCUCCAUAAAAUCCCAUUUUCAGGAAGCUCCAUAAUUUAUUUGACCAAUCCCCCUUUGGUAGACACUCAGGUUGUUUCCGAUUAUCUUUCAGUUACUGAAAGGCAAUGUAUCAGCUUCUAAACUGGGGAUAAUCAUAGUAUAUGGCUCAUAGGUUAUUGUGAGAAUUAAAUAAGUUAAUAUGAAAAUAACACUUAGGAAAUGAAACAAGUACUACACAUGUGUUAGCUAAUAUUAUUCUGUCAGCUCUGUUAUUUUGGUAAUGCUAGAGGUGAUACCAUGUUACACACAUCUUUGAACAUGUAAGUGAUUCUAAGGUGCAUUACUGGGUCUGAGGGGAGAGCAUGUUCAAGGCUGGCACCGAAUGUGUCCGUAGUGUAUGGAGGGUGUGCCUGAAGCUCACAAAGAUCAAGGGUGGGGGCGGAGAGGAACAGGAUGGCGUUGAGCCCCAGGCUUCGGCUGGAAACAUUUGUUAUGAUUUCACUGUGAUGCCUGAGGACAUUUGGACAACCAGUUUGUCCACUUAAGGGCUGAAAGCAGGAAGAGAAGAGAGUACAAAACCUUAAAGAGGGCCCCAGAAAGCCUCUGCUAGGCCAGCACAGACAGAGCAGUUUGCCCUCCAGCUCCAGAACCGUGAGUGGAUACUUUUCUCUGUUCUUGUUCUUAGUUCCUGCUACAACUAAGGAGUUCAGGUCUUCCACAAAAGGGAGUUGCAAUGAAAUCGGAUUGGGACCAUUGAGUCUUAAAUAGCCAGGGAUCUGCAUAUUAGGCUGUCACUUCAGGUCAGGACUGGGCAGAGGAGCAGGGAGCAUUAAUAGCUAGCUGCCUUUGUGGUCCCCUGUCCCCUAGCAUCUCCUCUGCCAACUGUCUUCCAUCAUGAAGUUGUGACUUUCUAACAUAAAAGUAAUUUGUCUUUAGGAUGCCUUCCAUACAACACAAAUACUCAGGGGAGAUAAGUAUUUCACAGAAUGAUAGAAUCAUGGAAUUUCAGAGCUGAAGGGGAACAAAUUCUAUUCAGUAUUCUUCCAGAGCAGAAAUCCUCAAACAUUUGAGUCAGAAUUCUACAUUAGAAUCACGUGGGGGCUUCUUAAAAUGGUGGCCUCCUGGGCCCACACUCGGAGUCUGAUUCAGUAGGUCUUGUGGGUCCCCAGAAUAUGCCCCUUUAAGAAUCCUCCCCGGGUCAUUCAUGCUGAUGCAGGUGGGCUAUGCUUUGAGAAAGCCUGUUGUAUAAUAGCCAUAGCAGGUUGGUUGCCUCUACUGUUGAGGAGCUCACUGCUUCAGGAGGCAGCCUAUUCCAUUUCAGAACAGCUCUGACUUUACGAAAGUUCUUCCUUAUGUGCAGCUGGAAUCUGCCUCGGUAUGAAUUCCACCCGCUGGUCCUGAUUCUAUCCACCAUGGCUAUGCAGAGGAAGUUCAAUUCCUCCAGCCUCCAAUAGGCAGAGGGACUUGAGAAUUAUGCAACCGUGAGAAUUACGCAACCUUUCAAAGGUGCGUUGGAAGGGAGCACCUACGUCUCUGAGUUGGCUGGGCCUUUAGAAACUCAUUUCCCUUCUCUCUGGGGUGGAUGCCUCCUUCCAAAUCCAGGAGAGUGGUCCCCAAAUCAGAGGGCAGAAUCCCUGGGGAAGAGGAAAGGAGUCCUUGGGCAAGUGAAGGGUCUGUGAAAACUGGUUCCUAUGAUCAGAGGAUGGCAGGGGGCUGAGCAGAUGCCUGGCCAGACAUCGUGGUGGUGAGUUCCAGGACCUGGAUUCCAGCCCCCGUUCUACCUCUAACCCUCCAACAGAUUCUGAGCAAGUCCCUGCCCCCUUGGGCCUCAGUUUUCACCUCUACACAACCAUCCUUUCUGGUCUUCCCAUUCUGAAAUCCCAUUUUUAAAGCCUGGCUCUCUCUGACCUGCCUCCUCUUUGCUUCUCUGGCAAGUUUUCUGGAGAGGGUGGCAGGAGAGGAGGUGUCCAUGUUCUUAGGAAAAAAUCCUGAGCCCAAGGCUGAGGAGGAGCACAGUUGCUCACCCAGCAGAGCAGCUCUUGUUGCAGUGGGGCGGGGCGGGAGUCAUGAAGAGUGGCGGGUAGGCCUCACAGUCCUCACCUCUGCUCUGAAGCAAGGUGGCUAGGACUGAACCCGUGACGCCUGUGCUCCCCAGGCUGGAGGCACCCUCCCUGUGACGGGCUCUGUCUGAGAGGGGAGCCCUUCAGGUUUGUGGGCUCUUUGAGGCCAAGGCCUUGCUGAGGGAGACAGAGAACAGGACUACAAGGAGGGCCUGUGGAUUGUCAAAGGUCCUUAUUCUGCAGCCCAUCCUGGGUCUCCACCUUACUCGUCUCCUUCUUUUGUCAGGACAUAUCUCAGAUUUGAGGCAAAGGAAACUCUGUGAGCACUGACUCCCUGUGGGUUCUUGGAAAAUUUUUCUCAGCAACCUGGGCAUCCAUUUCCUCAUCUGUCUAAAGGGCUAACAAUGUCCAUAAACACAGUCUGUAAACUGUAACAUGCCUGGAAGACGCAGCUGCUGUUAUUCUGUUUGUUCUCAGGUUAGUGUUCACAGAAGUAAGAAAUCUCAGUCAAGAUGGAUUCUGUCCUAAAGUGGUUUGGCAAAGAUGAUGACAAAGAGAAGGAGCAGCAGAAAGAGAAGGGGAAGCUGCAGAGUAAGCCAUGUGAGGAGCAGCAGAAGAAGGUGGAGCAGAUGGAGGACAAAGGCAGCGAGAGUGACAGCAGCAGCAGCGAAGAGGAGCCGGCACAAGUUCCAAAAAGAGGCACCAGACUGUGGUCUUGGACUCGCAGCAUGCCAAGAGCACCAGGGAAACCGAGUCCUGAAGUGGGAAGGGACUUGUCAGAGGUCAUGUUGAGAGAGCAGAGCGGGAUUGGUCCCCAGAGCUGCUAAAUCCCAGGGCAGAAAUGACCUCAUUGGGGAGGCUCUCACGGAAGGCUGGGUGUCACCCCAGGGUGGCCAGAGGGAGUGCCCAGUGUCAGACAGGUGUCAGAGCAGGGCCAGACCUCAGACAAGGGUCUCUUGACUCCUAGCACAGUGCUCCCUCCACUGCCCUAAGCAGCCUGAGUUCCCAGCCUUGAGCUGGGCUUUAUGGAGGAGACAAGGGGAGAAGGUGCCACCUCCAUCUCCAGAAGGGAGCCCGGGUCUCUCUGGAGAAGCCUCUAUUCCUGCAAAGCAGAGCUGUAGAAUUCUGUGCGGGAAGGGAGGGAUUGGCGUGGGCUGUGGGGAGAUGGAAAGUUCUCUGGCUGCAUCCUGAAAAAUCUAUGGGAGAGGGCCAGAGGCAGGGAGGGAGGAGGGCGUUGCACCUGGAGUGGAGAGGGAAAUGAAACAGCAGGGAAUGGCGAUUGAACUCUGGAGAAAUUCAGGGUCUGAAGAAGCCGAGUCUGAGGGGAGAGCUUGGGACCCCCAUGACCUCCCUAGGGACUCCCACGUGCUCUGGCCAUGCAGCCCCUGCCACUUCCCUCUCCCUCGUCUCUUUGGCAAGGUCUGACUUUUCUUCUCCUUGUCACACAGAACCAGGAGAUGAUCACCAAGAAAAAGAAGAAGAAAUGCUUCAAUUAACCGCAGGAGCAGCUGAUAUGGGAGCCUGGAGCAGGAGCACAGGAGAGAUUGGAGAAAGGGCAGUCAGGGGAGAGGGAGUGAAGGAGGAAUGUUACAGAAUGAAACUGUCCACGUACGCUA
Molecule: non-coding RNA, 8489 nt
Organism: Equus caballus (horse)
Lineage: Eukaryota; Metazoa; Chordata; Mammalia; Perissodactyla; Equidae
Source: RefSeq, a predicted model, not a curated record